CUGGGUGCUGCCAGGGUUCUGCUCUGGGCUGGAAGUUGCAGAAGAGCUGUGCAGGGGCUGGUGGUCGGUGGAGAUAACUUGUGGGUGAAACUCCAGAGGCCACCCCUGGGCCUCUGAUGGGGGUCUUUUUCUUUCCCCCAUCUCAGGAGAGCUGUGCCCCCACCCCCACCCCCCAGUGCCACAGGGACUGUGGGUGCUGAUGUACCCCCGGCUUCAGACUACUAUGAUGCCGAGAGCCUCCUAUGAGGACAGACCCUGGCCCUGGGAACUGCACCAGCUUCCUGCUCUGGAUACAGCCCCGGAGCUGCCUCCUGCACCUCUCUUGUCGACUCCCCGGUGCCCAUGGCUGGCAGUCCUUCUCACUCCCUCAACCUCAGCCAGGCCCUCUUCUCCUGGGGAAAUCAGUCCCUGCCCCACGCCAAUGAGUUCCUGGACGGGCCGGAUCUGUGCUGUGGUGUAAGAGCUCCUUAGAGCACCACCCAGGCCCUUGAAGCCACGUCAGCCCGCCUCUGCCCCACUGCUUCCUGCC
This 529-nucleotide long non-coding RNA is filed under the name Pan troglodytes (chimpanzee). Its description in RNAcentral is "long non-coding RNA NONPTRT006891". Lineage: Eukaryota; Metazoa; Chordata; Mammalia; Primates; Hominidae. The record is from RNAcentral.